AGUGAACGCUGGCGGUAGGCCUAACACAUGCCAGUCGAACGGCAGCACAGGAGAGCUUGCUCUCUAGGUGGCGAGUGGCGGACGGGUGAGGAAUACAUCGGAAUCUGCCCAGUCGUGGGGGAUAACGUAGGGAAACUUACGCUAAUACCGCAUACGACCUUCGGGUGAAAGAGGGGGAUCGCAAGACCUCUCGCGAUUGGAUGAGCCGAUGUCGGAUUAGCUAGUUAGCGGGGUAAUGGCCCACCAAGGCGACGAUCCGUAGCUGGUCUGAGAGGAUGAUCAGCCACACUGGAACUGAGACACGGUCCAGACUCCUACGGGAGGCAGCAGUGGGGAAUGUUGGACAAUGGGCGCAAGCCUGAUCCAGCCAUACCGCGUGGGUGAAGAAGGCCUUCGGGUUGUAAAGCCCUUUUGUUGGGAAAGAAAUCUUUCAGGCUAAUACCCUGGGAGGAUGACGGUACCCAAAGAAUAAGCACCGGCUAACUUCGUG
RNAcentral lists this ribosomal RNA (490 nucleotides) under uncultured bacterium. Its description in RNAcentral is "partial 16S ribosomal RNA". It matches the Rfam family "Bacterial small subunit ribosomal RNA", at positions 29 to 507 of the family's 1533-position model. The record is from RNAcentral.